CUGGCCGGGGUCGGAGACGCGGAAGACGUGGGUGAAGGAGGAGGAGCGGGCGACCUCGACGCCGGCGGGGUUGGCGGGCGGGCGGAGGCGGUCGAAGGAGUAGGCGAGCUUGACGAGGUCGGACUGGAGCGCGCAGGUGACCUCGAGGUCCUGGAGCUGGCGGAGGACGUGGACCCAGGCGUCGAGGGUGGAGAGGAAGAAGCCGAACUGGGAGAGGUCGAGGUCCUGGGAGGCCGGCGGGUCGAAGGCGAUGCCGGAGACGUUGAGCUCGAGCACGCCGUGGCGGGAGAAGCCGAACUCGUCGAGCGGGAUGAUGGUGCGCGGGUCGCCGCGGAUCGCCGUCGAGCGGAUCUCGGCCGCCGCCGGG
This 367-nucleotide long non-coding RNA is filed under the name Hordeum vulgare. RNAcentral's name for it is "long non-coding RNA (HVUL_LNC017468)". Lineage: Eukaryota; Viridiplantae; Streptophyta; Magnoliopsida; Poales; Poaceae. The record is from RNAcentral.